UGCAUCAGCCGGGAAUCAAACCCGGGGCACCCGUGUGGCAGGCAAGCAUUCUACCACUGAACCAAAAGC
Molecule: transfer RNA, 69 nt
Filed under: Cordylochernes scorpioides
Lineage: Eukaryota; Metazoa; Arthropoda; Arachnida; Pseudoscorpiones; Chernetidae
Description: tRNA-Gly
Source: RNAcentral